GACGAAGGGGGCUAGCGUUGUUCGGAAUUACUGGGCGUAAAGCGAGUGUAGGUGGUUGUCCAAGUUGGAUGUGAAAGCCUUGAGCUCAACUCAAGAAAUGCAUUCAGGACUGGGCGGCUAGAGGACCGGAGAGGAUAGUGGAAUUCCCAGUGUAGUGGUGAAAUACGUAGAGGUUGGGAAGAACACCAGUGGCGAAGGCGGCUCUCUGGGACGGUACUGACGCUGAGACGCGAAAGCGUGGGGAGCGAACAGG
This 253-nucleotide ribosomal RNA is filed under the name uncultured bacterium. Its description in RNAcentral is "partial 16S ribosomal RNA". It matches the Rfam family "Bacterial small subunit ribosomal RNA", at positions 524 to 776 of the family's 1533-position model. The record is from RNAcentral.